CACCGCCUGGGGAGUACGACCGCAAGGUUAAAACUCAAAUGAAUUGACGGGGACCCGCACAAGUAGUGGAGCAUGUGGUUUAAUUCGAAGAUACGCGCAGAACCUUACCAACACUUGACAUGUUCGUCGCGACUUUAAGAGAUUAAAGUUUUCGGUUCGGCCGGACGAAACACAGGUGCUGCAUGGCUGUCGUCAGCUCGUGUCGUGAGAUGUUGGGUUAAGUCCCGCAACGAGCGCAACCCUCACUUUUAGUUGCCAUCAUUUAGUUGGGCACUCUGAAAGAACUGCCAGUGAUAAGCUGGAGGAAGGUGGGGAUGACGUCAAGUCCUCAUGGCCCUUACGUGUUGGGCUACACACGUGCUACAAUGGUAUUUACAACAGGAAGCAAGACGGCGACGUUCAGCAAAUCCUUAAAAAAUACCUCAGUUCGGAUUGCACUCUGCAACUCGAGUGCAUGAAGCUGGAAUUACUAGUAAUCGUGGAUCAGCGUGCCACGGUGAAUGCGUUCCCGGGUCUUGUACACACCGCCCGUCACACCAUGGGAGUUGGUUCUACCUUAAGGCAAGGUUUAAUACCCUUGACCACGGUAUAGUCAGCGACUGGGGUGAAGUCGUAACAAGGUAGCCGUAGGGGAACCUGCGGCUGGAUUACCUCCUUUCUAAGGAUGAAUAAAAAAAAUUUUUUUUAUUCUAAAUAAUAUACAUAGGCUAAUGUUGACCGUCCUCAUUUCUCUUCUUAAACAGUGUUUCUCUUGCAUGGGGGCCGGUAGCUCAGUUGGUUAGAGCACACCCUUGAUAAGGGUGGGGUCGAAAGUUCGAGUCUUUCUCGGCCCACCAAUUAAAGAUUAAGGGGGGAUUAGCUCAGCUGGGAGAGCGCCUGAUUUGCAUUCAGGAGGUCAGCGGUUCGAUCCCGCUAUCCUCCACCAAAAACACUUAGCUAUAUAAAUCGUAAAUAAAAAUAAUAAUUAAUAUCAAUAUCUAUAUCCGAACAUUAGUAAUGUUAUUAGCUAAUGUUCAAAAUAAAAAUUUGAUUCAACACAGAAAUUUUUUUCUG
This 1053-nucleotide small RNA is filed under the name uncultured Pelagibacterales bacterium. RNAcentral describes it as "bacterial SSU rRNA". The stretch from base 1 to 658 matches the Rfam family "Bacterial small subunit ribosomal RNA", at positions 867 to 1533 of the family's 1533-position model. The record is from RNAcentral. Lineage: Bacteria; Pseudomonadati; Pseudomonadota; Alphaproteobacteria; Candidatus Pelagibacterales.